Molecule: non-coding RNA, 27 nt
Filed under: Mus musculus (house mouse)
Lineage: Eukaryota; Metazoa; Chordata; Mammalia; Rodentia; Muridae
Source: RNAcentral
AUAUCUGGGAUUCAAUGCUGCUGUCUU